GGGUUGUGAGGUUAAGCGACUAAGCGUACACGGUGGAUGCCCUGGCAGUCAGAGGCGAUGAAGGGCGUGCUAAUCUGCGAUAAGCGCCGGUAAGGUGAUAUGAACCGUUAUAACCGGCGAUACCCGAAUGGGGAAACCCAGUGUGACUCGUCACACUAUCAUUAACUGAAUCCAUAGGUUAAUGAGGCGAACCGGGGGAACUGAAACAUCUAAGUACCCCGAGGAAAAGAAAUCAACCGAGAUUCCCCCAGUAGCGGCGAGCGAACGGGGAGGAGCCCAGAGCCUGAAUCAGCAUGUGUGUUAGUGGAAGCGUCUGGAAAGACGCGCGAUACAGGGUGACAGCCCCGUACACAAAAGCGCAUGUGUUGUGAGCUCGAUGAGUAGGGCGGGACACGUGGUAUCCUGUCUGAAUAUGGGGGGACCAUCCUCCAAGGCUAAAUACUCCUGACUGACCGAUAGUGAACCAGUACCGUGAGGGAAAGGCGAAAAGAACCCCGGCGAGGGGAGUGAAAAAGAACCUGAAACCGUGUACGUACAAGCAGUGGGAGCACAGGUUUACCUGUGUGACUGCGUACCUUUUGUAUAAUGGGUCAGCGACUUAUAUUCUGUAGCAAGGUUAACCGAAUAGGGGAGCCGGAGGGAAACCGAGUCUUAAUUGGGCGUUAAGUUGCAGGGUAUAGACCCGAAACCCGGUGAUCUAGCCAUGGGCAGGUUGAAGGUUGGGUAACACUAACUGGAGGACCGAACCGACUAAUGUUGAAAAAUUAGCGGAUGACCUGUGGCUGGGGGUGAAAGGCCAAUCAAACCGGGAGAUAGCUGGUUCUCCCCGAAAGCUAUUUAGGUAGCGCCUCGUGAACUCAUCUCCGGGGGUAGAGCACUGUUUCGGCUAGGGGGCCAUCCCGGCUUACCAACCCGAUGCAAACUGCGAAUACCGGAGAAUGUUAUCACGGGAGACACACGGCGGGUGCUAACGUCCGUCGUGAAGAGGGAAACAACCCAGACCGCCAGCUAAGGUCCCAAAGUCAUGGUUAAGUGGGAAACGAUGUGGGAAGGCCCAGACAGCCAGGAUGUUGGCUUAGAAGCAGCCAUCAUUUAAAGAAAGCGUAAUAGCUCACUGGUCGAGUCGGCCUGCGCGGAAGAUGUAACGGGGCUAAAUCAUGCACCGAAGCUGCGGCAGCGACACUCAGGUGUUGUUGGGUAGGGGAGCGUUCUGUAAGCCUGUGAAGGUGUGUCGUGAGGCAUGCUGGAGGUAUCAGAAGUGCGAAUGCUGACAUAAGUAACGAUAAAGCGGGUGAAAAGCCCGCUCGCCGGAAGACCAA
This 1319-nucleotide ribosomal RNA is filed under the name Salmonella enterica. RNAcentral's name for it is "partial 23S ribosomal RNA". It matches the Rfam family "Bacterial large subunit ribosomal RNA", at positions 1 to 1348 of the family's 2925-position model. The record is from RNAcentral. Lineage: Bacteria; Pseudomonadati; Pseudomonadota; Gammaproteobacteria; Enterobacterales; Enterobacteriaceae.